Molecule: long non-coding RNA, 859 nt
Organism: Olea europaea var. sylvestris
Lineage: Eukaryota; Viridiplantae; Streptophyta; Magnoliopsida; Lamiales; Oleaceae
Exons: 3
Source: RefSeq, a predicted model, not a curated record
GAUCCACUCCGAAACGUACAUUUCAGCACGCAUUAUUGAGCCACGCAACCCCACACCUCAAUGUCACUGCACGUACAUUUUCUGCACUGUAGCUUGAGAUCCGAAGAGGUUCCUUUCUUCCACUCAUCAAAUUCACCUGAUACACACGUCAACUAAACUUUUGCACUAAGAUCUAGCAGCGAAAUUUUUGAUCGACAUUUCUGCAUCGUUGUUGGAAUUAUACAUACAUUUUCUGAUUUUCAGGUUCAGUAGAUGUCUGUUCGUGUUACAAAUACUGCUGGUUUGCUAAGAAAAUGGCAUGUUCAUCAUCUAUCAAACAAUGAAUAGCAACGGUUGAGUUAGCAAUACCUCAACUCUGUCUAGAACUCUUCUAGAGUUCAAAUACUUAAGUCUUGACGAAGUUUGGUCAGCUAGAACUCCCUGACGUGAUUGCUUACGGGAAACUAAAUAGAUACAAUGGUCAGCAAACAACAUUUGUUGACCUACUUGUAUCUUUUGGUCUACAUAUUGUUGUCCUCAGGAGUUAUUUUGUACAACAAGUGGGUUCUCUCGCCAAAAUAUUUCAACUUCCCAUUUCCAAUAACGCUUACCAUGAUUCAUAUGGGCUUUUCAAGCUUGGUUGCAUUUUUUCUAAUACGCGUUUUCAAGGUAUAGGAUUUUCGGAACUCCUUUUGCUAUUUUCAUAUUUUGUCAUAUUACGCCAAUGUUUGUUGGUAGACUGACUUGUGGUGUGAUGGUUUAAGUUGAUAGUGAAGGCUGUAAACUUAUGUUGGUUUUUUCCACUGACCUUGCAUUGUUAAUUACAAGAGUGUUAGCUGAGACAAAUGCAAGAGAAAGUCAUUACUUUCAAGAAAAGAGA